UACGAGGGGUCCUAGCGUUGUUCGGAAUCAUUGGGCGUAAAGCGGGUGUAGGCGGCCUUAUAAGUCAGAAGUGAAAGCCCCGGGCUCAACCUGGGAAGUGCUUUUGAUACUGUAAGGCUUGAGUGUGGGAGAGGAUAGUGGAAUUCCUGGUGUAGUGGUGAAAUACGUAGAUAUCAGGAGGAACUCCAGUGAGGAAGCUGGCUAUCUGGCCCAACACUGACGCUCAGACCCGAAAGCGUGGGGAGCAAACAGG
This 253-nucleotide ribosomal RNA is filed under the name uncultured bacterium. Its description in RNAcentral is "partial 16S ribosomal RNA". It matches the Rfam family "Bacterial small subunit ribosomal RNA", at positions 524 to 776 of the family's 1533-position model. The record is from RNAcentral.